This 128-nucleotide small RNA is filed under the name pig gut metagenome. RNAcentral's name for it is "Ribosomal protein L10 leader". It matches the Rfam family "Ribosomal protein L10 leader". Rfam says of the family: This family is a putative r-protein leader autoregulatory structure found in B. subtilis and other low-GC Gram-positive bacteria. The record is from RNAcentral.
GUAUAAUAAAGCUUGCCAAAGACAGUAGGUGCAUUUUGCAUAAAGUUUCAACUGCCUACCGAGGAUAUUAGCAUUUAAUUAAAAUGUUUCUAUGCCUUUUCUGUCUUUGCAGAAGAGGCAUAUUUUUU